This 301-nucleotide ribosomal RNA is filed under the name uncultured bacterium. RNAcentral's name for it is "partial 16S ribosomal RNA". It matches the Rfam family "Bacterial small subunit ribosomal RNA", at positions 509 to 807 of the family's 1533-position model. The record is from RNAcentral.
CAGUCGCCGCGGUAAAACGGAGGGUGCAAGCGUUAAUCGGAAUUACUGGGCGUAAAGCGUGCGUAGGCGGUUCGUUAAGUCUGUUGUGAAAGCCCCGGGCUCAACCUGGGAAUGGCAAUGGAUACUGGCGAGCUAGAGUGUGUCAGAGGAUGGUGGAAUUCCCGGUGUAGCGGUGAAAUGCGUAGAGAUCGGGAGGAACAUCAGUGGCGAAGGCGACUCUCUGGUCUGUAACUGACGCUGAGGAGCGAAAGCGUGGGGAGCGAACAGGAUUAGAUACCCGAGUAGUCCCUGUCUCUUAUAC